UGGGGAAUAUUGGACAAUGGGCGCAAGCCUGAUCCAGCCAUGCCGCGUGAGUGAUGAAGGCCCUAGGGUUGUAAAGCUCUUUCACCGGUGAAGAUAAUGACGGUAACCGGAGAAGAAGCCCCGGCUAACUUCGUGCCAGCAGCCGCGGUAAUACGAAGGGGUCUAGCGUUGUUCGGAUUUACUGGGCGUAAAGCGCACGUAGGCGGACUAUUAAGUCAGGGGUGAAAUCCCGGGGCUCAACCCCGGAACUGCCUUUGAUACUGGUAGUCUUGAGUUCGAGAGAGGUGAGUGGAAUUCCGAGUGUAGAGGUGAAAUUCGUAGAGAUUCGGAGGAACACCAGUGGCGAAGGCGGCUCACUGGCUCGAUAAUGACGCUGAGGUGCGAAAGCGUGGGGAGCAAACAGG
RNAcentral lists this ribosomal RNA (404 nucleotides) under Actinomycetes bacterium. Its description in RNAcentral is "Actinobacteria bacterium partial 16S ribosomal RNA". It matches the Rfam family "Bacterial small subunit ribosomal RNA", at positions 355 to 776 of the family's 1533-position model. The record is from RNAcentral. Lineage: Bacteria; Bacillati; Actinomycetota; Actinomycetes.